RNAcentral lists this non-coding RNA (193 nucleotides) under Moraxella sp. Its description in RNAcentral is "6S RNA". It matches the Rfam family "6S / SsrS RNA". From Rfam's summary of the family: E. coli 6S RNA was the first non coding RNA to be sequenced, but its function was unknown until recently. It consists of 184 nucleotides that fold into an extended hairpin structure with a large single-stranded internal bulge. The record is from RNAcentral. Lineage: Bacteria; Pseudomonadati; Pseudomonadota; Gammaproteobacteria; Moraxellales; Moraxellaceae.
GCCCCACUGAAGUGUUCGCCAGCAAAGCGUAUUCCUGAGCCGAUAAUCUUACUUUAGGAACGCAUUCCUACUAUUUUGUUGAGCAGGCCUGCAUCCUUGUGAUGUAUCAGGAAGCCGUAAUAAAUAGUGAUGCCUUCCGCCUUGAACUUCACGGUUCAUGGUAACCCCUUUGCAGCGGCACUUUGGUUUUUUU